CCUACGGGAGGCAGCAGUGAGGAAUAUUGGUCAAUGGCCGUAAGGCUGAACCAGCCAAGCCGCGUGAAGGACGAAGGUGCCAAGCAUUGUAAACUUCUUUUGUCAAGGGACAAAAUCAGUCUCGAGAGCCUGACCGAGGGUACUUGAAGAAAAAGCAUCGGCUAACUCCGUGCCAGCAGCCGCGGUAAUACGGAGGAUGCGAGCGUUAUCCGGAUUUAUUGGGUUUAAAGGGUGCGUAGGCGGACUGUUAAGUCAGCGGUAAAAGCCCGGGGCUCAACCCCGGCGAGCCGUUGAAACUGGCUGGCUUGAGAGGGCGAGAGGUAUGCGGAAUGCGCAGUGUAGCGGUGAAAUGCUUAGAUAUUGCGAAGAACUCCGAUUGCGAAGGCAGCAUACCGGCGGGGAUCUGACGCUGAGGCACGAAGGCGUGGGUAUCGAACAGGAUUAGAUACCCUAGUAGUC
Molecule: ribosomal RNA, 459 nt
Filed under: uncultured bacterium
Lineage: Bacteria
Description: partial 16S ribosomal RNA
Rfam family: Bacterial small subunit ribosomal RNA
Source: RNAcentral